Molecule: ribosomal RNA, 331 nt
Filed under: uncultured eukaryote
Lineage: Eukaryota
Description: partial 18S ribosomal RNA
Rfam family: Eukaryotic small subunit ribosomal RNA
Source: RNAcentral
CCCUUAGAUGUUCUGGGCCGCACGCGCGCUACACUGUUCGACGCAGCGAGUCUUAACCUUGACCGAAAGGUUUGGGUAAUCUUCAGCAAAGUCGAACGUGAUGGGGAGCGAUCAUUGCAAUUAUUGAUCGUGAACGAGGAAUUCCUAGUAAGUGCAAGUCAUCAGCUUGCGCUGAUUACGUCCCUGCCCUUUGUACACACCGCCCGUCGCUACUACCGAUUGAAUGGUUUAGUGAGAUCUCUGGAUUGACGCUGGCUAGGGGGCGACCCUUGGCCAGACUGUUGAGAAACUGCUCAAACUUGAUCAUUUAGAGGAAGUAAAAGUCGUAACA